CUGGCUGUAGCUCAGUUUGAGUAGAGCGCUCGCCUUGGGAGCGAGGGGUCGGAGGUUCGAAUCCUCUCAGCCAGAC
This 76-nucleotide transfer RNA is filed under the name Mycobacteroides abscessus subsp. abscessus. RNAcentral describes it as "tRNA-Pro(tgg)". It matches the Rfam family "tRNA". Rfam says of the family: Transfer RNA (tRNA) molecules are approximately 80 nucleotides in length. Their secondary structure includes four short double-helical elements and three loops (D, anti-codon, and T loops). Lineage: Bacteria; Bacillati; Actinomycetota; Actinomycetes; Mycobacteriales; Mycobacteriaceae. The record is from RNAcentral.